This 468-nucleotide ribosomal RNA is filed under the name uncultured bacterium. RNAcentral's name for it is "partial 16S ribosomal RNA". It matches the Rfam family "Bacterial small subunit ribosomal RNA", at positions 28 to 507 of the family's 1533-position model. The record is from RNAcentral.
GACGAACGCUGGCGGCGUGCUUAACACAUGCCAGUCGAACGGAAAGGCCCUGUUUUUUGGCGCUGGCGGGGUGAACGAGGGGGGAGUAAGAGGUGAAUAUCCUCCUCUUUUUUUGGUAAUAUCAUCAAGCAGGUGGUCAUACUGCAGGAUAGCAGCUGCUGCUGGGUGGUGGGGGGUGGGUCGUUUCGGCGGGGGGUGGUGGACUCGCGGCUUAUCUGCUUGUUGGUGGGGUGGUGGACGACCAAGGCUUGGGCGGGUCGCCGGCCUGGGAGGGUGACCGGCCACAUUGGGACUGAGAUACGGCCCAGACGCCUACGGGAGGCAGCAGGGGGGAAUAUUGCACAAUGGGCGGAAGCCUGAUGCAGCAACGCCGCGUGCGGGAUGACGGCCUUCGGGUUGUAAACCGCUUUCGCCUGUGACGAAGCGUGAGUGACGGUAAUGGGUAAAGAAGCACCGGCUAACUACGUG